RNAcentral lists this ribosomal RNA (2079 nucleotides) under Triticum aestivum (bread wheat). RNAcentral's name for it is "partial small subunit ribosomal RNA". Lineage: Eukaryota; Viridiplantae; Streptophyta; Magnoliopsida; Poales; Poaceae. The record is from RNAcentral.
AUGGGGUUGAACACAGAAUCGUUGCGAGGCUUGUGUUCUGAUCGUCUAUGGAAGUAUGCAGUAUUUUGGUCAAUCAAAAGCGAGAAGCAUGGCAUCUUGACUUGGGAGGAUGGCUACGUCGACAAGAUGACCAAAAACACGAGAGAUCAUUACGGGGGCCCAGCUGAUGGUGACAACCAGAUAAUAACACCUACUUCUAACGAUGGCCAAUAUCAAAGCUAUCCAUUUUGCCCCAUCGAGGCAGCAUUACUGCGCAUGUCUAGUCAUUCAUAUUCUCUUGGAGAAGAAAUUAUUGGUAAAGUGGCCAUUAUGGGACAACAUUGCUGGAUUUCUUCCAGUGAUCUUCGUUCAACUUUGGUGUACAAGUAUCACGAAGACUGGCAAUUUCAGUUUGCAGCAGGAAUCAAAACAGUUCUACUUGUACCAGUGAUUCCUUAUGGGGUUCUUCACCUGGGAUCUUUAUGUAUGCCUCAGGUUUUGGAAAGUUCAGCACUGGCGACACACAUGAAGGACCUGUUCUAUAAGAUUUACAAUCCCUCAAUUCCUCAUAAUCCUUCAGCCACAGGGUUCUGCUACUCAAAUUCUUUGAAAAGACCUACUGCAGAUGUAUCGUUGGAUCCCGCAGAUGUUCUGGCCCAUGACUUAUUUGAUGUGAUCAACAAUUCUGCUCAGCUAUUUACCAUUGAACACCUUAGUCUACCACAUCCCUUCACUCCGUCCGAGUUUCCAAUGUUAGAAGAUGUCAUUACAGGAGCGUACGAUAUUGGUCUAACAACUUGCUCAGAUGAGAGUGAUCUGUGGACCAAUGUUCAUGAAGCACCAUCUGAACUCACUCACUGCAAGACACUGGUCGACCCGGAGAUGAAAAACCUCUCAUUUAUGGAUAAGUUGAUCAAUUCCAACAGCAAACUGAGUUGCACAUCAGUAAUUAACAUACAAGAUGCGGAUUAUAAUAAUAUUGAUGAUUUUAUUCUGGCAUAUAUGGCACAAGAAUAUCAGGAGCACACAUGUGGCAGCACUUUAGUUUUAAAUGAUGAUGUUGUAACUUCAGAUUCUUCAAUUCACUCAAAGAUGCACAAAGAUCUUGAGGCAAUUCCCAGGGAAGAUAUUGAGAGCUUCAUGUGGCAUGGUAGAUUGAAACAACAAGAGUCUACAAGCCACUCUCUCCUUCAAGCGAAUGGAAAUAAAGCAUAUUCUUACUCACACCUCGAGACCAAUGAUUAUGCUGAAUUCUUAGUGGAUGCUAUAACCAACCAGGUUGGUAAUAUCCCAAACAGUUGCUCGUAUCACUCGACUGAUUCUUCGACUUCAAGCGAAACACAAAUACAGAGAGAAGAUCAUGCACUGAGGUUGGAUUCUUCGACUUCAUGCGGAACACAAAUACAGAGAGAAGAUCAUGCACUGAGGUUGGAGGAAUCGGCAAUCCCAGAUCCCUUUGGUGGUCGAGAAUUUUCACUUACCUCAGUCGAAGAAGGCUUCAUGACUUCCAAAAUGACUGUUUCGCUCCCGAAGGGAAUCAACAGGACCAUGACUGAAGAAUGCGUGGUUCAUACAAUUCAAGACAUGCACAGGGAAAUUUCAGUUGAAAUAAAGCAUGAAGGCGGAAAAAAAGAACUGCACAGACCAAGACCGAGAGACAGGCAACUGAUUCAAGACAGGAUGAAGGAGUUGAGGGAGCUCAUUCCAAAUGCAUCAAAGUGCAGCAUUGAUGCUCUCCUGGACAAAACAAUAACACAAAUGCUGUUCCUCCAAAGUGUAUCGGAGAAAGCUGAGAAGCUUCAGAACAAAACAAGAAAUGAGAAGUUCGGUAACGAGGCCAAGAAGAAGCUGGAAAACUGCCCGCUGAGAGUGGAAGAGCUCGAGGAACCUGGUCAUCUUCUCAUUGAGAUAUUGUGCAAGGAGUAUGACGUCUUUUUCGAGACUGCGCAUCUGUUCAAGGGCCUUGAGGUCAGCAUACUGAAGGGAGAGCUGGAGCAUCGUUCUGGCCAGCUCUGGGCUCGCUUUGUUGUUGAGGCUUCCAAAUGUUCAAACCAGAUGCAGAUUCUUUGCCCACUGAUGCACCUCUUGCAGAGGAGAUGA